Oreochromis aureus is the source of this 4253-nucleotide long non-coding RNA. The record is from Ensembl. Lineage: Eukaryota; Metazoa; Chordata; Actinopteri; Cichliformes; Cichlidae.
CCAAAGGUCAUUUAUCAAACCUGUGAGGCUGGAAAGGUCAUUUAGUAAGAAGCUCAACUUCUGCUUUCUACAUAAAUGAAAGUGAAAGUUAAAGGAAGCUUAAAGAUGUCUACAUAACCAAGAGAAACUGCUGCAACAUGAAAUGUAUCAGUAGAUUUAUCUCUACUGAAGGCUUGUUGCAGUCAUUAUUUAACAUAAACACCGGACGUCUUUACUGCUUCAAAGUGGGCGAAGUCAAAUCAAACUGUUGCUUUGCAGCUGAGAGCCAGGGUGAUGAGAUAAGUCAGAAAACGACAGAAGAAUCGUCUGCAAGUAAGAUAAAUAAUACUGCUUCUAAUGAUAAUCACACAGUUCCUGCCUGUGCUCCAACUGCUGUAUUGCAGGAGUUUGGUAUCAGAGUCCCUGCCGUACCUGGUAUUCACCUACACUGGAGGAACCCCUGCCCUGUGAAUAGCAGCCAGGUUCUUUCCUGUCAUGUGACAAUGUUUAAGAAACUUCCCUCUCUCCUCUAUUGUUUUAUAAACAAGAUGUCAGAAGGAGACGUUGAUAGUUUGUUUUAUGGGUAAUGUGCCAUCAGAGGCUCAUAGGAACAUGGAAACAAUCUGAAGUGCGUUUCUGCUGAUGCAUCACUGAAAAAUGCAGCAAAGAUCCAUGCACAGAAGAAUAUAAGAGUCAUUGUUUGAAUUUGCAGUAAGAAGGAAGUCUGUUUAACAUUUCCUUAAGAUAAAACCACAUCACAAUAGUUUCAGGAUUACACAAGUGCAUUGUCCUCAGGGUGUGAUUUACUGCACUGGUGGUAAAUUGAGUAAUACCAGGUAACACCAAAUGUCAUAAAAGACCUCAUAAAAGUAAAGAAAACAGGAAUGGGAUAUUUUUCUUUUUUUGAAGUGAAACGUGAUUUAUAAAGAAAUACAACAUUUGCAGCACAAACAUGUUUUGCAUAGUGCUGAGGCUGAAAUUGAGCUCAUUAAGACUUAACACAAGGCUGGAGUGAAGCAUCCUUUGACGGAGUGCAAAAACUGUUUUUGCUGAUUAUUUUCUGUUUAGCAAAAAUCCAGAUAUAAAAUAUGCUCCUAAGAUCCUGUUUUAUGCUUUUUCUUUUGUUCCACGGUACCUAACAUACCUGCUGCCCCCUCAUCUGGACAAGCUUCCCCAGCACAGGUUUGGACGUCAAUUGAAAGCAAAUUUGUCAAAAAAACAAAUGAAUGUGAUAAUACUUACCAUCAGCCUUCAGUAACACAUAACAACAAAACUACAAAUGGUUUGGGGACUUCUGCAUUUGGGGUUUUCUUUUUUUCUUUUGACCAUUUGAGAUUACUGGAGUUAUUGUAAACAGAGAAGAGAAAAGUAGUAAGCUGACAAAUACAUGACUACCUUACAGUAGUCACGUACGUGUGAGUCACUGCAUUUUUAAGUGAAGUUAAAAUAUCCGAGGCUUGAUUCAGCAAGAAUUCGACGUAAAACGGCCAUCCCACUAGAAACUCUUUUUUUAACCUUUAUGUGUUUGCCAGUAUGUUACUGACAUCAUUUCUGAGUGUGUCAGAGGAACUGGAAUCCAAAUGUGUGAUGACGGCUUUAACUGUGGUACUCAAAACCUCAAGUCCUGUUUUUCUUUCUCACACACACGACUUCAUGUUGAGUUUACUCUUUGGUUUCAUAUCUUAGUGAGGGCAUCUAAUUGAAACAAUGAUUUCCCUAGCCUAGCCUAAACCUAACCAUAACCUAAUUGCCAACCUGUCACUAAAAUCACACUUUGAGUCUUGAAAAGCUUCAAACUCACAGGGACAGGUGCUUUGUCCCCAGGGCUGUUGGUCCUCACAGGACAGGUACAGUAACAUUAAUAUUUUUCGUCCACACAAACAUAUAUGAACAUUGUACACACACACACACACACACACACACACACACACACACACACACACACACACACACACACACACACACACACACACACACGUCUGGUUUGCUAUCCUCGUGGGGACAUCCCAUUGACAUAAUGCUUUCCCUAGCCCCUUACCCUAAACCUAACCAUAACCUAAUUGUAACCCUGACAGUAAAACCGCAUUUUGAGUGUGAAAAUUGCUUUCAACCCCGAGGGGACCUGGAUUUUGGUCCCCACGGUGCAGAAAGUCCCCACCAGGAUAGUAAAAGUCAGAUUUUGGUCCCCACCAGGAUAGUACGAACCCGUACACACACACACACACACACACACACACACACACACACACACACACACACACACACACACACACACACACACACUACUGACAGCCUUUGACAAUCAAGCAGUUAAAGUUCUGGAAAAGAUUGUUAAAACAAUAAAAUAAUAUAAUACAUAUUAAAUAAGGUAAAAUAUUAACUCAGUGGAGGAUUUCACUCUGAUAGUCCAGGCUUAUUGUGGCUUUAAAUCUUUCCAAAAGGACGAGGGAGGCAGCGUCUUCAGCUAUCAGGCUGGACUGGGUUACGCUUUUACAAGACACCUAAGGUGAACCCUUGUAGAGCCUGUGAUGUGUCAAGGGACGGCUAACAGAGAGAUAAUGUGGACAAGAUUUUGUAUUGUCAGCAUAUGCUAUGUGGCUAACACAAUGUUUGAUAUAUGAUCAAUUCAUAUAACUGAAGUUAUUAGCCAAGUUUAUUUUGUGGAGUCCAGUACAUACACAGUGAAUCACAGAUAUCCUGCCAAUUUAAGAGGAAAAGAAAAAGAAUUUAGUUGUUCCAGUAUGAUCUGUGCAACACUGAUAGAACUCUUUUUAACAGGACGGUUUGGAAACAUCAGAUAAGCCCAACCAUCCUGAAGAGAGUAUGACUGAGGGGACAGGUAGAGAAUAGUCUUAACAGGGUUAACAGCACUCCAUAGUGUGCAUAAAUGCCACUUGUUUUGCACAAUAUCCAACUGCUGACAUCUGUUUAUUUUAUUUUAUUUUAUUUUAUUUUAUUUUAUUUUAUUUUAUUUUAUUUUAUUUUAUAUGUAUAUGUACCUGAACAUGUGAUGUGACAAUAGAAGUGAUUUUAUUUUAUUUUAAUUACAUUAUUUAUGUCUAGUGUAAAAAUAUAACAUGCAGACAAUUGACAUUUAGAAUAUAUCUGCGUAAUUUAGCCUGUCAAGACACAUAGCAUAUGUUGUGCAUCAGAAAUCUGAAUUGUACACUGUUGUGGAUGUGGAUGAUGAUGAUGAUGAUGAUGAAAUCUGUGCAUGAAAUCCUUGGAUCCAUUGUCAGACCCUAUACUGGUGUAGAGGGUCCUGGGUUCAUCCUGGUAUGCAGGAAGUUCCUGAAGGAUGAAGGAAUUGAUACCACUGCUUGGUCCCCCUGCUCGCCUGACCUAAAUCCAGUAUACCACCUCUGGGACAUUGUCUCUGUUCAUCUCCCAGGACACCAUCCAUUGAUGAAUAACUCAUGCUUUUAUCUAAUUUUGUCUCCCAUAGUUUGUUUUGUGCUGCUUGUUCUUGCUGUAGAUGACUGUUCCUCUCUAUGUUGCGGUUUUGUGCCCAAUUUUUAAUUUGUGUUUCUUUUUGUGAUUCUUCUGUUAAUGUGCUUUGAGUUGCUAUGUUUUUUUCUUGCAGAUACUCACGGUUGGUUUCUUUGCGUAUAUCCUCAGGCUAUCCCAAGUUUUAGUUUUGCUAUCUAUUUUAAUUCUCGGUUAUAGUUUGCUUAUAUUCCCUGAUUCCGUUUGUUCUGGCUCCCCCAUGUUUCCUGUAUCUUGCUAUCUUUGUAAAAUGUUAUUUGUUUCCUGUUUUAUUUUGAUAGCAUUUGUCUCACAUGUUUAGUAAUCAGUUGUAUUUCCCCUAGUCAUUUUUCCAUGAUUGUUGAUACCUGUGUGUUCUCCAUAGGUGUAUUCCUUUCCCCUAAGUGCUUAAAAGAAGCCUUAUCUGUUUUGUUGGCGGAUUAGUCAUCUGUCUUGGUGUGUUGCCAGUAAAUUUUUUGAUCACAUGACUCAUCUGGAUUCCACGGCUUUAGCUUCCUGUUGGAAUAUGUUAUCUUCAAAACCUUUACUUAAAUUUUCGUUUAAAUCUGUGUGUGCUGAAGACUGCAUUUUCGGAUCCUCCUCCUCAUUUCUUGACACCCUGAUUCUGGUCGUUCUUCCUGUUAAAUCGUGGGGCGAUCGUGGCUCAAGAGUUGGGAGUUCGCCUUGUAAUCGGAAGGUUACCGGUUCGAGCCCCGGCUCGGACAGUCUCAGUUGUUGUGUCCUUGGGCAAGACACUUCACCCGUUGCCUACUGGUGGUGGUCAGAGGGCCCGGUGGCGCCAGUGUCCG